UGGAGAAGUACCUCGGUGGUGCCGAGCUGAGCUAUGAGGAGAUCCAGCAUGCCAUCCGGAAGGCGACGGUCACGAGCGCGAUCGUGCCGGUGCUCUGUGGUGCGGCGUUCAAGAAUAAAGGAGUCCAGGCUCUUCUCGAUGCCGUGAUCGACUACCUGCCCAGCCCAACCGAUGUCCCCCCGAUCCAAGGCCACAUUCCUCUCCACGACGACACCCACGUCGAGCGGUGCGCGUCAGACGCGGAGCCGUUUUCGGCGCUCGCCUUCAAGAUCGCGACCGACCCGUACGUAGGCCGGUUGACCUUCUUCCGGGUGUACUCGGGGUUGCUCAAGUCCGGCAGCUACGUCUACAACAGCACCAAGGACAAGCGGGAGCGCAUUGGGCGGUUGCUCCAGAU
This 397-nucleotide unclassified non-coding RNA is filed under the name uncultured fungus. Its description in RNAcentral is "sequence contains ITS1". The record is from RNAcentral. Lineage: Eukaryota; Fungi.